Daphnia pulex (common water flea) is the source of this 2825-nucleotide long non-coding RNA. RefSeq lists it as uncharacterized. The transcript has 17 exons. Lineage: Eukaryota; Metazoa; Arthropoda; Branchiopoda; Diplostraca; Daphniidae. The record is from RefSeq and is a predicted model, not a curated record.
UGUUGCAUUCAGUACAAAGUACAGUUUACCGUAGGCCGUAGCAACAGUACAGUACUACAGUCAGUAAGGUGCAGACUGUAGAACUGGGAGUCUGGGACGGUGCACGCUGCAUGGUCUGAGUAUUUUAGUCAUGUCUGCGAACUUCAACGUACGUUUUGCAUCUAGAAAGUCCCACUCACGGUGAGUCGUCUCACCAUGUGUCCGAGUGCUGUCCGUAUGCAGAAAUGUCGUCUCGUACUAGAAAGUAGAAACUUGAUGGAAUGGUAGAUUAAUUCAAACUGCUGAAUGAUUGGGUUUGAUGCUCAAUGCUAAGAUGCUGAAAGGAGUGCUUGACUCGGAAUAAGCUGCUAUUGUCUCUGGUGUUGGUGAAUCUACAUUUACUUUGCUUACGUUCUUCACCGUUUUUUUACAUGUGUUUUAGAAUCAGUCAAAAAGAAAGUGCUGAAUUGAAGGAAGAUGAUGUAUUGCUUUUAUGUUUAUCUUCCCAUCAGGCAUGCUUCACCUGGGAAUUAUUUCAAUCGUGAAAUAGCUAUUUUUGUCAAAGGAUUAAUGGGUUGGUGAAAUCUGAGCUUUAUGACAGCCCAAUGUCUACAGGGAUACGUUGCGGAUUUGACGCAUGCAGCUGGUGAUUGUGAUGUACUUGAGACAUCAAUGUUGGCUUUCGUCAGUGACGAGAAGAGUGACUUCUAUCUUCGUUCUGCUCCAUCCUUAUCUUAGUAACGCCCGCUCUUCUGGCUAUAAUGCUUUGUAUGCUUGUUCACAAUUUGUCUUACUCCACUCACAAGCUUGACCACUUCAGUCCGCUGUUACUCACCAUGGGAGAAUGCCUAGGUCUGAAAGCUUUCAAUGUAAACUUGUCAAUUUCAUGUGUUGUUGUGGAGUGCUGUACCUUUUGUGAAGACUCUUGCUGCAUGUUGGGAUGUUUUGUCACAUGGAGAAGUACUUUUACUUUAAAGAGGAAAUGCGCAAGGGCCAUGCAGCUUACUGUCCACUAUUUUGUUCAUAAUCAUUGUUUUCUACUGAAUUCCAAAGCUUAAACAAUCUUUUCCCCUAACUUUUGAAAGGUAGAUUAAUUCAAGGUGUUGAAUGAUGGUGUUUGCCGCUCGAUGCGUAGAUGGUGAAAGACGUGCUUGACUCGAAUAAGCUGCUGCUGUCCCUGGUGUCGGUGAAUCUACAGUUUCUUUGCUUACGUUCUUCACCUUCUUUGGACAUGUGGGUAAACCGUUUGGUAACAUCUGAGAUUCAUGGUAGUCCAACGUCCUCGUGGAUUUGCUGCGGAUUUGUCGCAGCCAGCUGUUCAACCAGAGAGAGAGAAAGUUUGUCGGGUCGUGGCAUGGAGAUUCUUGGGCCAAUAUUGGCCUUUGCCGACAUUAUCUUCCCAACUCUCGUCAUCUAGCUCUAAUGCCUGUAUGUUGCUACAUAACUUGUCGUACUCCACUGAGAAGUUAGAUCACUUCAGUCCGCUGUUACUCACCAUGGAAAAAUGCCCAGUGGUCCCUGCUCCCUGGAUGUUAAGGGCUGUUGGCUGUCGCUAGGUGGUUAAAUAUUUCAGUGUGUUUAGGGAUUGAACUAUUCAGACUUAGUGUGAUGGUAUUCUAGAGGAAUGUAGCAAAGGGCAAAGGGGGGCAUCAAAAUAUCAAAGACCACCAAAGUGCUGAUGUGCUGAGGCAAUGUGGCAGUCAAAGAUGUUGUUAGAUAACGUUCUCCUUAGGCAUUGUCAGGGUAACAUUAAAAGGUCCUUCAAUUUAAAAUUGGAAAAUCCAUUUGAUCAUGUUGCCUGUCUAUCAUGUGACCUGUCUUCCCAAAAUGUCGUCUCUUGCUGUAUGUUGCAUGUUUCGUCACAAGAUGAGAUUUUCUCGCCAUUCCACUAAGCUGAACCGAAAGUGAACCAGAUAAAAGCUAAGCAUGAUUUCCUUUUCUCCAUGUGGUCACUGCCGUUCCAUGAAGUUGUGUCUUUAAGAGGGUCUACUAAGUUGCAAGACAAAUGUGUUGGAAGGAAGGAAUCUGUAAAGUUCAGAGAGUAUUUUGGCUUCUGCAGGCAUUUGAGUUAACAAUUGGAAAAGAACCUAUCUAAUAAUCUGUCCACGUUGGCUUAAAAUGCAGUCCAUUUCGCAGACUUGUUGUCCAUGGUUAUCUGUACAGGUUGAUUAUUAUAUUCAGGUGAUUUUGUUGCAGCCAGCUGGUGAAAGUGAGUUCAAGUCAAAUUCAGCUGAAGCUUCUUGAAGCAGUUUACAUUACUGGUGUCAUCCUGAACUGGGGAAGUGUUACUUGAAUUGUAACAGCAACAAAGACAUCUUGAAAAGGAUAUGGUGACAAUGUGAAAAGUCAAAUGCUGCAUGCAUUUCAUGUUGGGGUUAUCCAAAAAUGUUGUAGCAAGACUCAUAGCAAAUCUUCAAGCAUAGAUGCCAGAAUAUCUCUAAAAACGGAGUUAAUGGAAAUGUAAGGUGGUGGUUUUGCAGUUUGGUUCCUGUUCAAGCUGUUGUUAUGCUGGAUCUUCCUGAAGUCCUUGAAGUAGCUGAUACUGGUUUUAUCAUACAGUUGAUUUGCCAGUGCAAUUCGAGUUGUCUACUAAAAUAUUUUCUAUUAUGUUUUCCAACGUGUAGUAUAUAAUUCAGACGAAGUGAUGGUAUUUUGUUUCUCAAUAUGGUAUGUUGUAGCUCAAAUUGGUGAAAGUUCUUUUGUGCGGUAGUUUUAAGCAACGUUCAGAUUAUUUACUUUAUACUUGGAACUUAAACCUGAAAUAACUUGUUUAAUUUUGUGAACUUGAUUGUUGUUUCAUCUAAUCAUGUACAAAACUCAUUAAAUAUACACGUUCAAAUCCGAAA